Molecule: ribosomal RNA, 253 nt
Filed under: uncultured bacterium
Lineage: Bacteria
Description: partial 16S ribosomal RNA
Rfam family: Bacterial small subunit ribosomal RNA
Source: RNAcentral
UACAGAGGUCUCAAGCGUUGUUCGGAUUCAUUGGGCGUAAAGGGUGUGUAGGUGGCGCGCUAAGUCGGGUGUGAAAUUUCGGAGCUUAACUCCGAAACUGCAUUCGAUACUGCCGUGCUUGAGGACUGGAGAGGAGACUGGAAUUUACGGUGUAGCGGUGAAAUGCGCAGAUAUCAGGAGGAACACCGGUGGCGAAGGCGGAUCUCUGGGCCAUUACUGACGCUGAGGAGCGAAAGCUAGGGUAGCAAACGGG